GGGGGAUAUUGCACAAUGGAGGAAACUCUGAUACAGCAACGCCGCGUGAGGGAAGAAGGUCUUCGGAUUGUAAACCUUUGUCCUUGGUGACGAAACAAAUGACGGUAGCCAAGGAGGAAGCUCCGGCUAACUACGUGCCAGCAGCCGCGGUAAUACGUAGGGAGCAAGCGUUGUCCGGAUUUACUGGGUGUAAAGGGUGCGUAGGCGGCUCUGCAAGUCAGGCGUGAAAACUAUGGGCUUAACCCAUAGACUGCGUUUGAAACUGUGGGGCUUGAGUGGAGUAGAGGCAGACGGAAUUCCCGGUGUAGCGGUGAAAUGCGUAGAGAUCGGGAAGAACACCAGUGGCGAAGGCGGUCUGCUGGGCUCUAACUGACGCUGAGGCACGAAAGCAUGGGGAGCAAAC
Molecule: ribosomal RNA, 403 nt
Filed under: uncultured bacterium
Lineage: Bacteria
Description: bacterial SSU rRNA
Rfam family: Bacterial small subunit ribosomal RNA
Source: RNAcentral